UUAAGGGCCUUUGGGGGAGGGUCGAGGGCUGGGAGGACCAUGAGAGCGAUGUCCUCGGCCCGGCCGGGACUUCCCCAGCUUCACAGCCGCGAAAAAGUAUGAAUCUUUUGUUAGGAAGCGGCUCUAUCCCUGCGACUGGGACCAGACAUCUCCACGAAAAGUCCCCUGAUCAGGAAGCCUUCCCCCCCACCCCCACCCCCAGGAGGGGUGGACUAGAUCUCUCCAGUGAAAGCUGGGGCUUGGUGAGGCAGGCAGUCCUCCCUACCCCAAAAGCCCUCAGGAGUUCCCAUCCAGUGGCAGAGUCUGCUGCCCUGGGGACUGAUUUCCACCUUCAGUUCUCCCCACUCCUGCUGCUUCGCCUGCUCCACUUUUCCUUAGAGAGCCUCCUGCAGAGGUCAGCGAAUCCAUUUUGGGGUUGUCUAAAAGAAGCACUCACGGCUCCAAAAAGGAGGGGCUGUAGCCCUUUAAGGAUUUCGCCGGGGAUGGAUUCAGAGAUGAUUUAAAAAUGCCAACUCACAGAGCGCUCUGAAUUCUGGGAACGGGGUGUCAGCUCGAGAACUACACGGACCAGAAUGCACAGCAAACACACACGCCUUUACUUCCUGCUGCUCGGUCGGACCCUGGUUUGACGUAGCGCUCUUCAAAGCAAGUAGCCUAGCGGAGGGCCGAGCCACACCUUUUCACCUAUUGGCCAGCUCUUGAGUUGGUGGGCGUGGCUUAGUGCAACUCUACUUCGGCAAAGGGGUGGCCUCCUUGUCAAUCAGAGCUAAGACAGCCGGAGAGGCGGGAUCAGGGCGAAGGGCUGGCGCCCCCGAGUGGGUGUGGUCACGCUGCACACCAGUAGGCGGUGAUUGGCCCUGGGCGGUGCAAUCGCAACUUGUGCGUCACUACGCCGCCAGCUGAUCGGAGACUGGAGCCGGUGUGUGCUGGGCGCUGGGAAGAGAGCGCCGCCGGCUGUGGGGCACGGACGCACUGAUUUGCUCCCCUGUCCUCAGCACCCCCCGCACACACCCGGCACCAGAUCCAGGCCCCCCAGAACUUUUUCCAGCUGAACUCUCUGGGAAGAAAUCAGUUGGGCUGAUCACUGAACUCAUUUCUGGACCUGAGAUACAACUUCUCACCUAGUACCUUGGAAAAGGGAGCCUGUACCUCCCACACCCUCACCUGGCUGAGCCGCAGUAGUUCUUCAGUGGCAAGCUUUAUGUCCUGACCCAGCUAAAGCUGCCAGUUGAAGAACUGUUGCCCUCUGCCGCUGGCUUCAAGGAGGAGGAGGAGCUGCUUUCCCGCUCAUCUGGAAGGUGACAGAACUGGGGCUGGGAAGGUCUGCAGGAGUGGUGAUGGUAUGUUUCAGGAAAGGGAACCUUGUUCAGUCGGAGAGCCUUCACCCUGAUUGGCGCGGCAAGAGAGAACAAUUUGAGAGACCCUGACUGACUGAGGGGAUAGAUGGCUCUGACUGCCCAAAGUUAGUCAGUCUUUGUGUGACAGUGGGAGGAAGUGGAGCAAAGAAAACCGUGUCUAUCCCUUUUCCCAGAUGUCUUUCUUGACCCUCCUUCCUUAUCCCUCAUUCUUUCCACCGGCCUUUCCAGGUGAGGUCCAGAAGUAAGCCUGCCUCUUCCUGCCAUCUCAGCAGUCAUUCCUCUGCUCUUGCCUCUCCCUGCAUUUCCUUAGACUGGCCCAGACUCUAGAUUCAGGGCUACUUACCUGUAUGAGGCACCCUUAGACAUCCGGUCUCAGCUUCUCCACCUACCUGUGGUAUGGAGAAGUCACCCAGUUAAGUGUGCCAGAGGGAAUCAGAAGCCCAUUUGUGCAGACUCAGCUUGGGGUGGGAACAGAACAGCUUUUCACUUAAGCUAUUGCCCCUCCCCCCUCCCUGACAAUAACCCCAGGGAUAGGGGGUUGGAGGGCUAAAGGGGCUCAGUCUCUACAUUGACUUCUCAUCAUGCUAGGGUGGCCCCAGCCAUCCUCUGCCACCCAUAAUAAGACUGCGGCCCCUGAUGGCUACCACUGCUCUUCUUCCUCACUUGGCUUUCCAGGAUGGUGUGUGAAACUCAACUCAGGCCUGUGCAGGCAGAAAACUUCUCCCCUCCAGCAACCAGCACAGCUGAGUUCUGGGACUCAACCCCCCUUGGGGCAUCAGGCAGUGUAAACCUGCCUUCCCCACCUCCUGAUCCAGUCUCACUCUUUGGCUCAGGCUCUGGUGUGGUUCAGCCUUGGCCUAGAAUCCCUGCCUGAAGGUGGCUGCCUUCAGGGGCUGCAGGAAGCUGUUUGUUCUAUUUGGGGGGAAGAGGAGCCGGGUCCUAUUACCCAUUUAUGAGAAACUCAAAGAUUUAGGGGAGAGUAGACCGUUGAACCCAGCUCUUCCACAGCUUAAGCCGAUGUGUGUGGGACUGGUAGAAGGGGGUGGGUAGACUGAGUCCACUCAACAAAGAUCACUCUGUCCCUGGACAUUGCUUCCGUCCUUUCUUCCCCUCCUCGCUUCACUGGCCACAGUGUUUCCUUCCAGCCUGGGUGUGUGGCUCUGCCAUCCUCACCUAUCAUGGAGCAGAGAUGAGGAGGAGCAUCCUGGGAACUCAGAGGCAGGCGGAAGACCCGUGAAGGACAAAGCCUGGAGAGCACAGGACCUGUCUGGGCACCUUGCAGAGGGGGGGCAUAAAGGCCAGGAGCACCCCAGGAAGAGGGAGGACAGCCAGCCUCCAGCAAGGACAAGCUUCCAGGCAUCUUCAAUCUCUCCACCUUCUUCGGAGAUGUGGGACCAUGUUAAAGUGUCCUGUGGCUUCAUCCUCCUCCUUCCACCUCUCUCCCACCUUGUAAUUUACAUAUAAGCAGCUUCAAGGAACAAGAGCCAGCUGUGAAAGGACAUACACAGGAAAUUCAUAAAAGAAAUGCAAAUGGAUAAAACCAUGACAACAAAUGUGUACUUCAUUAGUAAUUAAAGAGAGGCAAAUACAGCUGUAA
This is a long non-coding RNA of Myotis daubentonii (Daubenton's bat), 2955 nucleotides long. RefSeq lists it as uncharacterized. The record is from RefSeq and is a predicted model, not a curated record. NCBI's taxonomy places the organism in Eukaryota, Metazoa, Chordata, Mammalia, Chiroptera, Vespertilionidae.